CAGUCGCCGCGGGAAUACGAAGGGGGCUAGCGUUGUUCGGAAUCACUGGGCGUAAAGGGUGCGUAGGCGGAUUCUUAAGUCAGGGGUGAAAUCCCGAGGCUCAACCUCGGAACUGCCUUUGAUACUGGGGAUCUUGAGUCCGGAAGAGGUGAGUGGAACUGCGAGUGUAGAGGUGAAAUUCGUAGAUAUUCGCAAGAACACCGGUGGCGAAGGCGGCUCACUGGUCCGGAACUGACGCUGAGGCUCGAAAGCGUGGGUAGCGAACAGGAUUAGAUACCCCAGUAGUCCCUGUCUCUUAUAC
RNAcentral lists this ribosomal RNA (301 nucleotides) under uncultured bacterium. RNAcentral's name for it is "partial 16S ribosomal RNA". It matches the Rfam family "Bacterial small subunit ribosomal RNA", at positions 509 to 807 of the family's 1533-position model. The record is from RNAcentral.